RNAcentral lists this ribosomal RNA (797 nucleotides) under uncultured Ambisporaceae. RNAcentral's name for it is "SSU rRNA". It matches the Rfam family "Eukaryotic small subunit ribosomal RNA", at positions 314 to 1114 of the family's 1831-position model. The record is from RNAcentral. Lineage: Eukaryota; Fungi; Glomeromycota; Glomeromycetes; Archaeosporales; Ambisporaceae.
AUCAACUUUCGAUGGUAGGAUAGAGGCCUACCAUGGUGGUAACGGGUAACGGGGUGUUAGGGCACGACACCGGAGAGGGAGCCUGAGAAACGGCUACCACAUCCAAGGAUGGCAGCAGGCGCGCAAAUUACCCAAUCCCGACACGGGGAGGUAGUGACAAUAAAUAACAAUACGGGGUUCUUUAGGAUCUCGUAAUUGGAAUGAGUACAAUUUAAAUCUCUUAACGAGGAACAAUUGGAGGGCAAGUCUGGUGCCAGCAGCCGCGGUAAUUCCAGCUCCAAUAGCGUAUAUUAAAGUUGUUGCAGUUAAAAAGCUCGUAGUUGAAUUUUGGGUCUGGCCGGGCGGUCCGCCCUCUGGGUGAGCACUGUUCCGACGCCGGGCCUAUCCUUCUGGUGAGUCGGCAUGUCCUUUAUUGGGUGUGCCGGGGAACCAGGACCAUUACCUUGAAAAAAUUAGAGUGUUCAAAGCAGGCGUAUGCUCGGAUACAUUAGCAUGGAAUAAUGGAAUAGGACAAUGGUUCUAUUUGUUGGUUUCUAGGAUCGUUGUAAUGAUUAAUAGGGAUAGUUGGGGGCAUUAGUAUUCAAUUGUCAGAGGUGAAAUUCUUGGAUUUAUUGAAGACUAACUACUGCGAAAGCAUUUGCCAAGGAUGUUUUCAUUAAUCAAGAACGAAAGUUAGGGGAUCGAAGACGAUCAGAUACCGUCGUAGUCUUAACCAUAAACUAUGCCGACUAGGAAUCGGGCGAUGUUGACAAAAUGACGCGCUCGGCACCUCAUGGGAAACCAAAGUGUUUGGGUUC